This 93-nucleotide transfer RNA is filed under the name Salmo salar (Atlantic salmon). It matches the Rfam family "tRNA". From Rfam's summary of the family: Transfer RNA (tRNA) molecules are approximately 80 nucleotides in length. Their secondary structure includes four short double-helical elements and three loops (D, anti-codon, and T loops). Lineage: Eukaryota; Metazoa; Chordata; Actinopteri; Salmoniformes; Salmonidae. The record is from Rfam by way of RNAcentral.
UUCCCUGUGGCUCAGUUGGUAGAGCAUGGUGUUUGCAACGCCAGCAUGGUGUGUGCAACGCCAGGGUUGUGGGUUCGAUUCUCACGGGGGGAC